RNAcentral lists this ribosomal RNA (228 nucleotides) under uncultured bacterium. Its description in RNAcentral is "partial 16S ribosomal RNA". It matches the Rfam family "Bacterial small subunit ribosomal RNA", at positions 103 to 334 of the family's 1533-position model. The record is from RNAcentral.
CGGGUGAGGAAUACAUCGGAAUCUGCCUUGUUGUGGGGGAUAACGUAGGGAAACUUACGCUAAUACCGCAUAAGACCUCAGGGUGAAAGCGGAGGACCUUCGGGCUUCGCGCGACAAGAUGAGCCGAUGUCGGAUUAGCUAGUUGGCGGGGUAAAGGCCCACCAAGGCGACGAUCCGUAGCUGGUCUGAGAGGAUGAUCAGCCACACUGGAACUGAGACACGGUCCAG